AUUGAACGCUGGCGGCAUGCCUUACACAUGCAAGUCGAACGGCAGCACGGGUGCUUGCCCCUGGUGGCGAGUGGCGAACGGGUGAGUAAUACAUCGGAACAUGUCCUGUAGUGGGGGAUAGCCCGGCGAAAGCCGGAUUAAUACCGCAUACGAUCUACGGCUGAAAGCGGGGGACCUUCGGGCCUCGCGCUAUAGGGUUGGCCGAUGGCUGAUUAGCUAGUUGGUGGGGUAAAGGCCUACCAAGGCGACGAUCAGUAGCUGGUCUGAGAGGAAGACCAGCCACACUGGGACUGAGACACGGCCCAGACUCCUACGGGAGGCAGCAGUGGGGAAUUUUGGACAAUGGGCGAAAGCCUGAUCCAGCAAUGCCGCGUGUGUGAAGAAGGCCUUCGGGUUGUAAAGCACUUUUGUCCGGAAAGAAAUCCUUGGCCCUAAUACGGUCGGGGGAUGACGGUACCGGAAGAAUAAGCACCGGCUAACUACGUG
Molecule: ribosomal RNA, 486 nt
Filed under: uncultured bacterium
Lineage: Bacteria
Description: partial 16S ribosomal RNA
Rfam family: Bacterial small subunit ribosomal RNA
Source: RNAcentral